This 124-nucleotide long non-coding RNA is filed under the name Camelus dromedarius (Arabian camel). RNAcentral's name for it is "lncRNA (ENSCDRG00005021560.1)". The record is from RNAcentral. Lineage: Eukaryota; Metazoa; Chordata; Mammalia; Artiodactyla; Camelidae.
CCGCCAGGCUAGGAAUAGCCUCCGGGUUUCUGAGUUCCAGCGUCCGUGCCGAUCUGUGAGUCAGCCUGUCAACAACGCUGACAAGAAUUUCAUCCCCUUCCAUGUGUGUUUUCAGUGGCCAGGC